Molecule: long non-coding RNA, 1319 nt
Organism: Portunus trituberculatus (swimming crab)
Lineage: Eukaryota; Metazoa; Arthropoda; Malacostraca; Decapoda; Portunidae
Exons: 3
Source: RefSeq, a predicted model, not a curated record
AAGAUGAAUGAGAGUAUGACGCUGUGUGUUAUGUGCGUGGUGGUGAGGAACCUGGCAGUCGACGAUGAACUAUGCUGUCAUCCAUAUCUGUGACUCGUACAAAAGUUACAGUUGGUUCCAACAAUAUAUCAGAUUCAUAAAAGUACGAACACGGUGAAGAAAAAAAAUAUGGAACUGGUAUGGACGUGGGCAAUGAAAGGGCGAUGACCGUGGAGGACAACGGUCCCCAGUGCCAGUCAGGGGAGACAGUCACUCAAGCAACUAAAAAACCCAUAUAAGACUCGUUGCUUCAAUAAAAUCACCGGAAUCCAACAUGGAAUCAAGUUUUAUUAAAAUUGCAAUACCCUUCUGUGUAUUCCCAUCGCUGUGUUCCUUCGAGACUCUCCAAUACGGAUCGUGGUACAACACACUAUUAGUGAUAAUUCCCAUCUAGCAAUGGCAAGAGCGGGCGUAUGAUGCUACAGGUCUGUGGCACCGGUGAGGUCAGUGGCGGCAACCAAGUCAAAGAUGAACAAACAAGUUAGUAUUGCGAUAAUCGUUAAUGUUUGCCAGCGUACCUAAUUCGGUAACAGUGUUUUAUAAGUUGAUAAUUUUAUGGGAGUUAAGCACGCACUCGUAAUGCAGGCUCAUAGUGUGUCAUGCGUGGCCCGUGCCAGGUGAGUAUUAGGGAAGGCAGGUAAGUCAGUUGGUUAGGAAGCGUUACGAGCCAGAGCGAAGGAAUCUAGCUAGAGUGAAUUACUAUAGUAUUAACUUUCGUGUCUAAGAUAGUCAUAAGUUUAUCAUUAUUAUCAACCUAUAUAUGGGUCUACUGUAGAACAUAAGAUACAUUCUGGUUCUGUGUCUUAGCGGGGUUGCCGACGGAAUCAAAACUACCCGGCUAUGUCCCGUGUCUAUUUUCCUCUAGAUGAGCUGAAUAGAGGCUACAGCGUGAAAAGAGACUUGACUGAAUUCUCUUCACCAUACCAGGAAUUCGAAUCCAGAAAUUUUCGUGGAAUUUUCUAAGUGCAAACGAGAUUCAAGAGAGAAUUGUUUCAUUAGCAAAAUCUGGAAACGCAUAAUAAAUCCGUUGUGUCCAAACAAAAACCAAGCAGUCAAGUGAAAAGACAUAAUGAUGUUAUCGCGAGACAAGAAUUGUUUCUGGAACGUAAAAUCAAUUACCACCGCAAUCACAAGUCUGGUGAUUCAACAUCACCUCCACUCUCUCGAUUACACCUUAGUGGCAGGAAGAGUCAAGACUGCGGACACUCGGAGAACCGUGAUAUUGAAGAAAAUAAUUGUUUCUGCAGAACAUCAACUUUGGUGCAUAGGGUUCUUCAAGC